Molecule: ribosomal RNA, 279 nt
Filed under: uncultured bacterium
Lineage: Bacteria
Description: partial 16S ribosomal RNA
Rfam family: Bacterial small subunit ribosomal RNA
Source: RNAcentral
UGCCAGCCGCCGCGGUAAUACGGAGGGUGCAAUCGUGGUUCGGAAUUAUUGUGCGUAAAGCGCGUGUAGGCGGUUCGUUAAGUCUGAUGUGAAAGCCCCGGGCUCAACCUGGGAACUGCAUUCCAAACUGACAGACUAGAGUACGAUAGAGGGGGGUAGAAUUCGGAGUGUAGCGGUGAAAUGCGUAGAUAUUCCGAGGAAUACCGGUGGCGAAGGCGGCCCCCUGGAUUGAUAAGGAAACGGAGGUGAGCACGCGUGGGGCGCAAACAGGAGUAGAUC